This 253-nucleotide ribosomal RNA is filed under the name uncultured bacterium. RNAcentral describes it as "partial 16S ribosomal RNA". It matches the Rfam family "Bacterial small subunit ribosomal RNA", at positions 524 to 776 of the family's 1533-position model. The record is from RNAcentral.
UACGUAGGGGGCAAGCGUUGUCCGGAAUUAUUGGGCGUAAAGGGCGCGUAGGCGGCGCGAGCAGUCGAUCGUGAAAGUCCGGAGCUCAACUCCGGAUCGGCGGUCGAUACUCUCGUGCUUGAGCACUGUAGAGGCAGAUGGAAUUCCGGGUGUAGCGGUGGAAUGCGUAGAGAUCCGGAAGAACACCGGUGGCGAAGGCGGCCUUCUGGACAGUGACUGACGCUGAGACGCGAAAGCGUGGGGAGCAAACAGG